Molecule: long non-coding RNA, 590 nt
Filed under: Pan troglodytes (chimpanzee)
Lineage: Eukaryota; Metazoa; Chordata; Mammalia; Primates; Hominidae
Description: lncRNA (ENSPTRG00000053973.1)
Source: RNAcentral
ACAAAGUUGACAAGAUUCAAAAGUGGUUUGGGUAAAAGAGACUCAAUCCUAGAGGGGCAUUUGAUUCCAAAAGGGAAGAAGACGUACUUCAUCUGGAACAUCAUGAAGUCACAGAAGAACUUCACAAGUGUUCCGAUCAGAAGGGAGCCCUUUGAGUAAGUGAAAUGAAGCAUGAAUAACUGCCUAAUUAGUGGACAUGAAAACUGGACAGUCUCCAAAGUCAUCAGAGAUGACCACGCUUGCCAGGCAACUUACUAGACUAAGGGUGGUGUCUCAAGACAUUCAAGGUGCUCAGUGAGUGCAGACUAUGCAGAAGAAGUGACACAGAAGCCUGAUGGAGGUGAUGAUACCCAGUGGCCAUGGGACUUUGUCAGCAAAGGCAGUGAUAAACAGCAUGAGAGUAAGGAUGCAGUGGCCAGAAGAGGCAGCCCAGGGAAGAUCUGAGGUGAACCCUCUGGUUGGAAAGGCUUGGCAAAUUGGAGGAACAAAAAGAAAAAAUAGUAAAUCUACAACAAGGAUCAGCAAACUCCAGUCUACAGGCCAAAUCCAGCCUGCUGCCUGUUUAUGUCAAUAAAGUUUUAUUGGAACAU